This is a small nucleolar RNA of Pteropus vampyrus (large flying fox), 104 nucleotides long. The record is from Ensembl. Lineage: Eukaryota; Metazoa; Chordata; Mammalia; Chiroptera; Pteropodidae.
AUCCUUUUGUAGUUCAUAAGUGUGAUGACUGGGUGUUCACACUCUUGUGUGAGAUGUGCCUCCUUUAAACCUCGUUACAACAUCGGCACAUUACCCAUCUGACG